This is a long non-coding RNA of Hirundo rustica (Barn swallow), 2195 nucleotides long. RefSeq lists it as uncharacterized. The record is from RefSeq and is a predicted model, not a curated record. NCBI's taxonomy places the organism in Eukaryota, Metazoa, Chordata, Aves, Passeriformes, Hirundinidae. The transcript is spliced from 5 exons.
AUUCAAGCCGCUUUCUGAAAGCAAACAGAGAUGCUCUUGGGAGCUGAAGGGGCGCGAGCGCUGGAGUUCAGCAUCUGGGAGCAGAGAUCUUCAGCACGGCUUAUGCUGCUGCCUUCUCUACACAGCCAGCCUCAUCAAAACCUGAGUUUUCAAAGCACUUGUCAGAGACUGAAUUGCAGGUUCCAGUCCUGCUGACCACUGUCUGUGAUGAGGAGACCCCAAGACUCCAGCAAACUCUCAGCCAGUGCUCUGAUGGCAGGAGUUCUCCAGGACCCUGGCAAAGGUGACCAGGAUCUGGCAGACAGGACAGAGUGAAAGACCAGCUGGGCUCUAAGCUCUGAUGUUUCUAAUUGAUGUCCAAGGAGAAAGCUUGAUGAUUUAGAGAUGAAGAAGAAAGGAAUCGCACCUUGCUUAAACUCAGCAGAAGCACGAGAGUGGAAAAUAACCCUUCUGACAGCUAGAGGCAAUGGCACUGAACCAGUUCAGGAGAAGUGGAAGGUGGUCACAGCUCUCCGCAGGCAUCACUGCAGGCAGGCAGCCCUGGCAGAAGCUUACCUUCAUCCGAAGAGACCUUUGGGAUGGAUCCGCUGGCCAGGAGAAGGAACGAGAAACCUCCUGCAGGAAAAGGGAGACCGUCUAGCUCAGGAGAAGCUCUUGGGAGAGGGGCAGGCGUGGAUAGAGGCAGGAAGGCCUCCCACUCCAAUGGCUCACCCUUCCCGUGCCAGCCCUGCUCCAUCUGCUGGCAAGGACAAUGCGGAGCCGCUGCCGUUUGCCCGCCGGGAUCCGGGCCCUCCUGCCCUCCUCCCCAGCCCAGAUUCCCUUCCCGUCCUCAUUUCAUCUGCCACAAGUGCCACAAGAGAAGAGCAGAGCCUCCCCCCAGACACAGGAGGGAGAACAACCCUUAUUUUUGGAUCCCUGCUUUCCCACGAGUUUUCCUCUAUUUUAGCCUCUAAUAUGUCAUCGAAGUUACAAGUAAAGUACUGUGCAUGCCGUGUGUUUACUCUCUGAUCUGCUGGCUGGGAAGUUGAUUCCCCUGCUCACCUGUGGUCAGUCAAAUGCAAUGGCAAUACCCUGCAAGUCCCCUGAGGCUGCCCAUUGGGAUACCGAUGGGAAUGGGGUGAGGUGGCAGCGCCCGCUGUUGCCUCACCCAGGAAAACAGGGUGCAGCUGCGAAAGGUAUUCAGGGGAAGCAGGAGUCCUUUGACUCUUUGCUUUGCUGCUCAGCACUUCUCAAGGGUAUUAUUUUGGCUCUGCCUCCAUUUCCCCCUUGCCUACUAGGUGUUUAAGAGAACAGGCUGAGGAAAGCUCUGAUUUUUUCAAAAUGUGAAAGCAACAUGGAAAGCUUUUGCCAUGUAUUGAGUCUGCAUGGCAUUGUGAAUUUGACUCACUCUUCUCUGUACAUGGAGAUGCAGGGUGUUCACAGCUGCCCUAUGAAAGGGUUUUUCAGCUCUGGCAUCAUGGACAUUAAAUGCUUUUUUUCCUCUUGUCCUGCCUUCUGCUUUUUGGAAAUAAUCUGCACCUGGUAUUUGUGUCUCUUUUCCAUAUGGAAAAGGAAGCAUGUUCACCCUGCUGUGGCAAGUCUUUCAGCUCUGAGUUCCAAGCAGUCAGGUGAAUGGGGUGGGCUGAGCUUCCCCACAUCAGUCAGCUCCUCAGGGAGGGAAGAAGGGCAGCCAGUGUCAGACCAGUGUUUACAGAAAGUUUAGUCUCCAGUGGAUUUCCCUAUUCCAAUGAAACAAUAGGAGGGUCUUGUGCUGUAUUAUCCAUGCUUCCUCUUUAUUCUGAUAUUAUCUGUGAAUUCUUGCAAAUAAUAGAUGACUGAGACCAGUCAUUGUUUCGGGAAAUAGGAAGAUGAAAACAUUAGAUGGACCUUAGCAGUUUCAAUGGAUUUAUUAAUGGUGUUUGUAGUUGUGCAAGUCAGAAACUAGCAAAAUACCUGUUGGACUAAGUAAUAACCUUGUGCAUUCAUGAAAGCAGUUCUCUUACGUCCCAUUUUUAAUAAGAGAGACUGCCUCAGUCAAACAAGUGCUAGAGAGUUCAAAACAAAAAAGGAAAGCAAACAUAACUCCUGUUAAUGCCACAAGAUUUUGGGAAGCAAUCCAUCCCAGCUCUUCCAUGUAUCUGCUUUAAUACAGGCAUUCUGAUAAAAAUUGCACGAUGGUGAUUAAUAAAUUUUCUAUCAAUUGAACUUGAAGUCAA